RNAcentral lists this ribosomal RNA (549 nucleotides) under uncultured Glomus. Its description in RNAcentral is "SSU rRNA". It matches the Rfam family "Eukaryotic small subunit ribosomal RNA", at positions 548 to 1098 of the family's 1831-position model. Lineage: Eukaryota; Fungi; Glomeromycota; Glomeromycetes; Glomerales; Glomeraceae. The record is from RNAcentral.
UUGGAGGGCAAGUCUGGUGCCAGCAGCCGCGGUAAUUCCAGCUCCAAUAGCGUAUAUUAAAGUUGUUGCAGUUAAAAAGCUCGUAGUUGAAUUUCGGGAUCAAAUAAUCGGUCGUGCCUCCGGUACGUACUGGUUUUAUUGGUUCCUCCCUUCUGACGAACCAUGAUGUCAUUAAUUUGAUGUGGUGGAGAAUCAGGACUGUUACCUUGAAAAAAUUAGAGUGUUUAAAGCAGGCUAACGCUUGAAUACAUUAGCAUGGAAUAAUGAAAUAGGACGUUCGACCCUAUUUUGUUGGUUUCUAGGAUCGACGUAAUGAUUAAUAGGGAUAGUUGGGGGCAUUAGUAUUCAAUUGUCAGAGGUGAAAUUCUUGGAUUUAUUGAAGACUAACUACCGCGAAAGCAUUUGCCAAGGAUGUUUUCAUUAAUCAAGAACGAAAGUUAGGGGAUCGAAGACGAUCAGAUACCGUCGUAGUCUUAACCAUAAACUAUGCCGACUAGGGAUCGGACGAUGUUAAUUUUUUAAUGACUCGUUCGGCGCCUUACGGGAAAC